CUCUGCCUGAAUUCGCAGUGCCAUCGUCAGCAGCGGAGCCGUACCAGUCGAAGCAAGCCGCAGAAAAAGCCAAGCGGAUUCGUGCUGUGGAGUUGACUGUUGACUGACGAUUGCUGGUGGUGGUACCGUGCCCAUGUUCUCUCGAUAAAUAAUGACGAAUGCGUACACCUUCGAUGGCCUGGUGGUGUUUGGACUCUUGGUGAUUUGCACCUGCGCUUAUAUGCGCAGAGUUCCCCGGCUGAAGCAGUGGUUUCUUUCUGAGAAGAAGGGAUUUUGGGGAGUAUUUUACAAAGCAUCAGUUAUAGGUACACGACUGCACUUCUUCGUCUCUGUGAGCUGUGUCCUGGCUGGCUGUUACCUGCUUUUCAUUAAGUGAUU
This is a long non-coding RNA of Dermacentor albipictus, 378 nucleotides long. RefSeq lists it as uncharacterized. The record is from RefSeq and is a predicted model, not a curated record. NCBI's taxonomy places the organism in Eukaryota, Metazoa, Arthropoda, Arachnida, Ixodida, Ixodidae.